This 301-nucleotide ribosomal RNA is filed under the name uncultured bacterium. Its description in RNAcentral is "partial 16S ribosomal RNA". It matches the Rfam family "Bacterial small subunit ribosomal RNA", at positions 509 to 809 of the family's 1533-position model. The record is from RNAcentral.
CAGCCCCCGGUAAAACGUAGGUGGCAAGCGCUGUCCGGAAUUAUUGGGCGUAAAGGGCUCGCAGGCGGUUUCUUAAGUCUGAUGUGAAAGCCCCCGGCUCAACCGGGGAGGGUCAUUGGAAACUGGGAAACUUGAGUGCAGAAGAGGAGAGUGGAAUUCCACGUGUAGCGGUGAAAUGCGUAGAGAUGUGGAGGAACACCAGUGGCGAAGGCGACUCUCUGGUCUGUAACUGACGCUGAGGAGCGAAAGCGUGGGGAGCGAACAGGAUUAGAUACCCCCGUAGUCCCUGUCUCUUAUACAC